Molecule: ribosomal RNA, 279 nt
Filed under: uncultured bacterium
Lineage: Bacteria
Description: partial 16S ribosomal RNA
Rfam family: Bacterial small subunit ribosomal RNA
Source: RNAcentral
UGCCAGCCGCCGCGGUAAUACGGAGGGAUCGAGCGUUGCUCGGAAUUACUGGGCGUAAAGGGCGCGUAGGCGGUCUUGUAUGUCGGGCGUGAAAGCCCCGGGCUCAACCCGGGAUGUGCGUCCGAAACUGCAAGUCUAGAGUCUCGGAGAGGGAGGUGGAAUUCCCGGUGUAGCGGUGAAAUGCGUAGAUAUCGGGAAGAACACCAGUGGCGAAGGCGCUCUGCUGGGCCAUCACUGACGCUCAUGGACGAAAGUCAGGGGAGCGAAAGGGAUUAGAUA